RNAcentral lists this ribosomal RNA (242 nucleotides) under uncultured bacterium. RNAcentral's name for it is "partial 16S ribosomal RNA". It matches the Rfam family "Bacterial small subunit ribosomal RNA", at positions 1246 to 1500 of the family's 1533-position model. The record is from RNAcentral.
GAAGCGAAGCCGCGAGGCAGAGCAAAUCUGAAAAAAGACAUCCCUAGUUCGGAUUGUAGGCUGCAACUCGCCUACAUGAAGCUGGAAUUGCUAGUAAUCACAGGUCAGCAUACUGUGGUGAAUACGUUCCCGGGCCUUGUACACACCGCCCGUCACACCAUGAGAGUUGAGAAUACCCGAAGUCCAUGUCAAAGUGGCCGAAGGUAGGCUUGAUGACUGGGGUGAAGUCGUAACAAGGUAAC